Molecule: long non-coding RNA, 1176 nt
Filed under: Homo sapiens (human)
Lineage: Eukaryota; Metazoa; Chordata; Mammalia; Primates; Hominidae
Description: HSALNT0379990
Source: RNAcentral
UGAGUAAUGAUGACACUAGCAGUCCAGCCUGCAUGGAUGCUGACAUGGAUGCUGUCUCCCAUUCUUACCACUGGAUGGGAAGAAAUGCUAGAUGCAAUCCAGCCAGUCUGUACUCGACUGUCAGUUCCAUCUUCUCAACUCACAGUGUCUUCCAAAGUCCGUGCCACACCACAGCCUGGAACAUCUCCCAAGGUUUCAAAUAAUUCAUCAGUGAAUUCUUCUCAACCUGGUCAAUCAUGUGAACUUAGAAGAUGAUUCCUCCCCAGCUGAUCCUCAGGUGAGACAUCAGCCUUGGCCAUCAUCUACAUCUGGAUUCCUGACCCAGAGAAACUGGAACACUAAGACCCAUUCUUCUUCUCAAGUAUCCAAAAAUAAAGUUGAUCCAAGUAAGAAGUGGACAGCAUAAAAGAUUGUAUGGAAGCUAUAAUGCAUCUACAUCUGCAGUAACUAAUCAUAAAAUGAUUUGUAUGAUCAUUCUUCACAUGAUUAGAAUUACUAUGGGAAAGAAGAAAAAGAAAUGCCUCUCUGGAUGGUGACUAUAACCUAUAGCCUUGCCCAAUAUGACUCAGGAUUUGGUACUGGCUGUGCCUUUCAUGGGAUGCUUACUUAUCCUGGUCGAUGGCCUAAAGCCCAACCGUCCAGCUUAUAUCCAGGGAUAAACUCAGCCUGCGGGGCCUCAGGAAGAAGGUCGUAGCCAUUUCAUUGAGUCCAGGGCAGAAAAGUGGAAGAAAAAUGUGAAUGUGUUAAUUUGAGGACUUUAGCUCUGAGAGGUUUCAGGAUUCAGUCCAAAAUGCAGAAAACAAUAAAAAGCUCAAAAACAAUGGACAAGACUAGAAUCUAACAACAGGGUCUCAAGCCACCCAGGCUGGAGUGCAGUGGCACAAUUAUGGCUCACUGUAGCCUCACCUUCCUGGGAUCAAGCAAUCUUCUUUCUUCAGCCUCCAGAGGAGCUGGGACCACAGAUCCUUUGGCAUUUGAGAGUUGCUUUGUGUAUACGGUCCUUUAACGGAGCAAAUGGCCAGCCAGGAAACCAAAGUAUGGACAAGGGGAAAGAAGCGUCUGUGGAGGAAGUUUUACAAGCGCCCUCCUCAUCCAUUUGGGUGGUGUUGCCCAUAUGCUACAUGUCUGUGGACCACUAUGUGUGUUUAAAGCUUUUUAGUAAAACGUUACUAAAAA